RNAcentral lists this ribosomal RNA (819 nucleotides) under uncultured bacterium. RNAcentral's name for it is "bacterial SSU rRNA". It matches the Rfam family "Bacterial small subunit ribosomal RNA", at positions 44 to 883 of the family's 1533-position model. The record is from RNAcentral.
GUGCUUAACACAUGCAAGUCGAACGAUGAAGCCUAGCUUGCUAGGUGGAUUAGUGGCGCACGGGUGAGUAAUAUAUAGAUAACGUGCCUCUUAGUCUGGGAUAGCCAUUGGAAACGAUGAUUAAUACUAGAUACUCCUUCUCCUUCUAAUUGGAGUUGGGAAAGUUUUUCGCUAAGAGAUCGGUCUAUAUCCCAUCAGGUAGUUGGUAGUGUAAGAGACUACCAAGCCUAUGACGGGUAGCGGGUUUGAGAGGAUGAUCCGCCACACUGGUACUGAGACACGGACCAGACUCCUACGGGAGGCAGCAGUGAGGAAUAUUGCACAAUGGAGGAAACUCUGAUGCAGCAACGCCGCGUGGAGGAUGACGCAUUUCGGUGUGUAAACUCCUUUUAUAGGUCAAGAAAAUGACGGUAGCCUAUGAAUAAGCACCGGCUAACUCCGUGCCAGCAGCCGCGGUAAUACGGAGGGUGCAAGCGUUAUUCGGAAUCACUGGGCGUAAAGGACACGUAGGCGGGAAGCCAAGUCUGAUGUGAAAUCCUAUGGCUCAACCAUAGAACUGCAUUGGAAACUGGUUACCUAGAGUAUGGGAGGGGGAGAUGGAAUUAGUGGUGUAGGGGUAAAAUCCGUAGAUAUCACUAGGAAUACCUAAAGCGAAGGCGAUCUCCUGGAACAUUACUGACGCUAAGGUGUGAAAGCGUGGGGAGCAAACGGGAUUAGAUACCCCGGUAGUCCACGCCCUAAACGAUGUUCACUAGUCGUCGGGAUGCUAGUCAUCUCGGUGAUGCACUUAACAGAUUAAGUGAACCGCCUGGGGAGUAC